AACGCACCUUGCGCCCUUUGGUAUUCCGAAGGGCAUGCCUGUUUGAGUGUCAUUAAAUCCUCAACUUCAAAUGUUUUUUGAAGCUUGGACUGUGGAGGUCUUGCCGGCAGAAAUGCCAGCUCCUCUUAAAUGCAUUAGCGGAACUUUUUAAAAAAAAAAUAAUGGACCAGCUUUGGUUUGAUAAUCUUAUCUAUGCCGUCGCUGUGGACAUUUAUUUAGUUCAGCUUCUAAUUGUCUUUGGACUGUCUCGUUUUAUGAGGCAUAUACUUUUAAGCUUGACCUCAAAUCAGGUAAGACUACCCGCUGAACUUAA
This 313-nucleotide unclassified non-coding RNA is filed under the name uncultured fungus. Its description in RNAcentral is "sequence contains ITS2". The stretch from base 1 to 52 matches the Rfam family "5.8S ribosomal RNA", at positions 103 to 154 of the family's 154-position model. The record is from RNAcentral. Lineage: Eukaryota; Fungi.